This 342-nucleotide unclassified non-coding RNA is filed under the name Hevea brasiliensis (rubber tree). Lineage: Eukaryota; Viridiplantae; Streptophyta; Magnoliopsida; Malpighiales; Euphorbiaceae. The record is from RNAcentral.
AAUUUUUGCAAAAUAGAUAGCAGCAAGAAUUUAUGCUGUGUACAAUAACAUUAGCUCUUCAAAUAAAGCCAAUAUCAUCUCCUACUAAUGUCCCAUCUCUGUAACCUUUAAUUGCAAGUUGUUGGACUACUCUUUGAACCUAGGAGCAUGUUUCCCUUUUUCUUCUAUAAUCUUUUAAUCUUCAAGUACUGGACCAUCUCUUCUCAGGUAAUAUCAAGGCCAAACUCCCUUACAUGCAAUAAAUUUAACACUUCAUGACACUCACUUAAAAAUCAGGGUUAAGAUUUUUGCUACCAUAAAAAGCAUUCAACAUUUUCAUCAACAGUAAGCAGGUAUUGGGUU